This is a non-coding RNA of Pelobates cultripes (western spadefoot toad), 1877 nucleotides long. Lineage: Eukaryota; Metazoa; Chordata; Amphibia; Anura; Pelobatidae. The record is from the annotation of a GenBank genome assembly.
CUCUGAUGACAGAGCACGUCGACGUUACGCAAGUACGCGGCAUAACGCCCCCACGCUCCUCCUCCACCCUCCAUACAGAAGUGGAUUCCCGGCGGCGGCUCUCUGCUCAUAAUUUGCAAGUCAAGUGCAAAGCAGUAUUAUGCACUUGACUUGCACUUUAAAUACAGAACUCGGCCAGCCUGCGAGCUGUGUUGGCCGCCCGGCGCCCCUGUUGCCAUGGCGCCCUGUGCGGCCGCAGAGCUCGCACAUCCCUAAGGCCGGCCCUGGAUACGCUUCACUUGGACAAUGUUUCAUGGCUUUUCCGUUUUUUUAGAACUGGAUUAUGAUGUAAUUUGCUAAAUCUGUAAUAUAAAUUUAAAAGAAAAUGAAGCAUCUUAGAAUAAAGGUUAAUUAACACAAGUUAUAGGUGAUUUUCAAUGUUAAAUUCAACGACUUAAAUUGCAGAGACGUGACUGGUCCACUUUAACACCAUCAAUGCAUUGGCCUGUCCUCAACCUUAAACCUGUAACAUCAUUAAAAAAAAAAAAACACAUGCCAUUUUUGUGUUGUCAGCCAUGCAGGGUAAACCUAUGGAGCCCGACAUCAGAAGAAUAAAAGUUUGUUCAAUGCGCCAUGAUACUUUUCAUGGUGUCUGGAGUCUGUAUGUGCUGCACAUACAGAGCUUAACCUUAAUCUUUGGGAGUCAUUAGCCGGCCCAGAGUUCGGGGCUGGGUAAUAUCAGUCGUGUGCAAAAUUGGUGUCUGACACCAGCACACAGCAUGGUGGUGCCAGACAGCCAAUAUCGGCACGGUGUCCUCCUCCAUGCUGCCUCUCCCAUGUCCUCCCUCCCAUGAGGGGGAGUGAUGUUAGCCAAGGGUUGAGGGGAGUACUUGUAGGAAAAGAAAUAAGUCUAAGCUCUUUCUUUGCUACCAUACAGCCCUUCCAUGUGUUCAACCCUACCAUACACCCAGGGGCGUUUUAGCCGCAAGGCAUUUGCCUUGGGCGGCAUUUUCCAGGGGGCGGCAAAAAAAGCCGCCCCCCAAAUGCCCAGGGCAAAUGUCUUGUUAGCCUCGCGGCUAACUGACAUGCCUAGCAGGCGGGAGGCGCUGGGCGGGCUGCGCUGGCGAAGGAGCUCUUCCUCUGAGCUGUCUGCUCAGCUCCCUCGCGCGCCGCAGAGUGAGGCUGAGAGCCGGAAUAUGUCAUAUCCCGGCUCCCAGCCUCACUCUGAGGCGCGUGAGGGAGCUGAGCAGACCGUUCAGAGGAAGUGCUCCCUCGCUAGCGCAGCCCGCCCAGCCCAGCCCAACAGCCACUGGACCACCAGGGAGAGAGGGAACCCUCCCCCCCCAGCAUUCCCAAAGGUAAGGGGGAAGGGGGGUUAAAAAAAUAAAUGUGUUAAUGUAAGUGUGUCUGUGAGUGAGUGUGUCUGUGAGUGAGUGUGUCUGUUAGUGAGUGUGUCUGUGAAUGAGUGUGUCUGUGAGUGAGUGUGUCCGUUAGUGUGUGUGUCCGUUAGUGUGUGUGUGAGUGUGUCUGUUAGUGAGUGUGUCUGUCUGUUAGUGUGUGUGUCUGACUGUUAGUGUGAGUGUGUCUGACUGUUAGUGUGAGUGUGUUUGCCUGUGAGUGUGAGUGUGUUUGCCUGUGAGUGUGUCUGCUAGUGUGUGUGUGUGUGUGUGUGUCUGCUAGUGAGUGAGUGUGUUUGUGUCUGACUGUGUGUGUAUGUUUGCCUGUGAGUGUGUCAGUGAGUGUGUGUGUGUCAGGGCCGGAUUAAGAGCACACUGGGCCUGGUGCUGACAAAUAUGAUGGGCCUAAUUACGGAAUCUUAUCAACCAAAAACACUAAAACAGUCAUACCUCCCAAGCGUCAUGUAUCUGAUGGAGAUGGUGCUGGAGGGAAACUCAAAG